ACUCUAAGCGGUGGAUCACUCGGCUCAUGGGUCGAUGAAGAACGCAGCAAACUGUGCGUCAUCGUGUGAACUGCAGGACACAUGAACAUCGACAUUUUGAACGCAUAUCGCAGUCCAUGCUGUUAUGUACUUUAAUUAAUUUUAUAGUGCUGCUUGGACUACAUAUGGUUGAGGGUUGUAAGACUAUGCUAAUUAAGUUGCUUAUAAAUUUUUAUAAGCAUAUGGUAUAUUAUUGGAUAAAUAUAAUAAUUUUUAUUCAUAAUAUUAAAAAAUAAAUGAAAAACAUUAUCUCACAUUUGAAUGUGAAAAACGAAGAGAAAUAUUUUCUUUUUCAAUCAAAUAAUACUGAGAAAUGUCUAGCAUAAAAAAUUGAAAUAUUUUUCAUCUAGAAUUGUCUCUUAUUAAUGAUUCGGAAAUAGAAAAAUCUUGGUUAUGUUAUUAUUCUUCGUUGGUUCGUUAAAAAUGGAUAAAUAAAAACUUUGCAUACAAGAAUUAAUAAAAAUGUUAUAACGAAUUUAAUUAAAUGUUUUAUCAUUAUAUAUAAAGAAUUUAUGGCAAGAUAAAGUUAUAUACAACCUCAACUCAUAUGGGACUACCCCCUGAAUUUAAGCAUAUUAAUUAGGGGAGGAAAAGAAACUAACAAGGAUUUUCUUAGUAGCGGCGAGCGAAAAGAAAACAGUUCAGCACUAAGUCACUUUGUCUAUAUGGCAAAUGUGAGAUGCAGUGUAUGGAGCGUCAAUAUUCUAGUAUGAGAAAUUAACGAUUUAAGUCCUUCUUAAAUGAGGCCAUUUACCCAUAGAGGGUGCCAGGCCCGUAUAACGUUAAUGAUUACUAGAUGAUGUUUCCAAAGAGUCGUGUUGCUUGAUAGUGCAGCACUAAGUGGGUGGUAAACUCCAUCUAAAACUAAAUAUAACCAUGAGACCGAUAGUAAACAAGUACCGUGAGGGAAAGUUGAAAAGAACUCUGAAUAGAGAGUUAAACAGUACGUGAAACUGCUUAGAGGUUAAGCCCGAUGAACCUGAAUAUCCGUUAUGGAAAAUUCAUCAUUAAAAUUGUAAUAUUUAAAUAAUAUUAUGAGAAUAGUGUGCAUUUUUUCCAUAUAAGGACAUUGUAAUCUAUUAGCAUAUACCAAAUUUAUCAUAAAAUAUAACUUAUAGUUUAUUCCAAUUAAAUUGCUUGCAUUUUAACACAGAAUAAAUGUUAUUAAUUUGAUAAAGUGCUGAUAGAUUUAUAUGAUUACAGUGCGUUAAUUUUUCGGAAUUAUAUAAUGGCAUAAUUAUCAUUGAUUUUUGUGUUUAUUAUAUGCACUUGUAUGAUUAACAAUGCGAAAGAUUCAGGAUACCUUCGGGACCCGUCUUGAAACACGGACCAAGGAGUCUAACAUAUGUGCAAGUUAUUGGGAUAUAAACCUAAUAGCGUAAUUAACUUGACUAAUAAUGGGAUUAGUUUUUUAGCUAUUUAUAGCUAAUUAACACAAUCCCGGGGCGUUCUAUAUAGUUAUGUAUAAUGUAUAUUUAUAUUAUUUAUGCCUCUAACUGGAACGUACCUUGAGCAUAUAUGCUGUGACCCGAAAGAUGGUGAACUAUACUUGAUCAGGUUGAAGUCAGGGGAAACCCUGAUGGAAGACCGAAACAGUUCUGACGUGCAAAUCGAUUGUCAGAAUUGAGUAUAGGGGCGAAAGACCAAUCGAACCAUCUAGUAGCUGGUUCCUUCCGAAGUUUCCCUCAGGAUAGCUGGUGCAUUUUAAUAUUAUAUAAAAUAAUCUUAUCUGGUAAAGCGAAUGAUUAGAGGCCUUAGGGUCGAAACGAUCUUAACCUAUUCUCAAACUUUAAAUGGGUAAGAACCUUAACUUUCUUGAUAUGAAGUUCAAGGUUAUGAUAUAAUGUGCCCAGUGGGCCACUUUUGGUAAGCAGAACUGGCGCUGUGGGAUGAACCAAACGUAAUGUUACGGUGCCCAAAUUAACAACUCAUGCAGAUACCAUGAAAGGCGUUGGUUGCUUAAAACAGCAGGACGGUGAUCAUGGAAGUCGAAAUCCGCUAAGGAGUGUGUAACAACUCACCUGCCGAAGCAACUAGCCCUUAAAAUGGAUGGCGCUUAAGUUGUAUACCUAUACAUUACCGCUAAAGUAGAUGAUUUAUAUUACUUGUGAUAUAAAUUUUGAAACUUUAGUGAGUAGGAAGGUACAAUGGUAUGCGUAGAAGUGUUUGGCGUAAGCCUGCAUGGAGCUGCCAUUGGUACAGAUCUUGGUGGUAGUAGCAAAUAAUCGAAUGAGACCUUGGAGGACUGAAGUGGAGAAGGGUUUCGUGUGAACAGUGGUUGAUCACGAGUUAGUCGGUCCUAAGUUCAAGGCGAAAGCCGAAAAUUUUCAAGUAAAACAAAAAUGCCUAACUAUAUAAACAAAGCGAAUUAUAAUACACUUGAAUAAUUUUGAACGAAAGGGAAUACGGUUCCAAUUCCGUAACCUGUUGAGUAUCCGUUUGUUAUUAAAUAUGGGCCUCGUGCUCAUCCUGGCAACAGGAACGACCAUAAAGAAGCCGUCGAGAGAUAUCGGAAGAGUUUUCUUUUCUGUUUUAUAGCCGUACUACCAUGGAAGUCUUUCGCAGAGAGAUAUGGUAGAUGGGCUAGAAGAGCAUGACAUAUACUGUUGUGUCGAUAUUUUCUCCUCGGACCUUGAAAAUUUAUGGUGGGGACACGCAAACUUCUCAACAGGCCGUACCAAUAUCCGCAGCUGGUCUCCAAGGUGAAGAGUCUCUAGUCGAUAGAAUAAUGUAGGUAAGGGAAGUCGGCAAAUUAGAUCCGUAACUUCGGGAUAAGGAUUGGCUCUGAAGAUUGAGAUAGUCGGGCUUGAUUGGGAAACAAUAACAUGGUUUAUGUGCUCGUUCUGGGUAAAUAGAGUUUCUAGCAUUUAUGUUAGUUACUUGUUCCCCGGAUAGUUUAGUUACGUAGCCAAUUGUGGAACUUUCUUGCUAAAAUUUUUAAGAAUACUAUUUGGGUUAAACCAAUUAGUUCUUAUUAAUUAUAACGAUUAUCAAUUAACAAUCAAUUCAGAACUGGCACGGACUUGGGGAAUCCGACUGUCUAAUUAAAACAAAGCAUUGUGAUGGCCCUAGCGGGUGUUGACACAAUGUGAUUUCUGCCCAGUGCUCUGAAUGUCAAAGUGAAGAAAUUCAAGUAAGCGCGGGUCAACGGCGUGAGUAACUUAUGAUUUUAUGUGCGAAGAUGGCUAAAUCUUCCGCUGGAUGUGCCGAUAGCAUUUGUUCAUGCACCCCCAAAAAGUGGAGGUCUCGGAAUUCCAUCACUAAGAUGGGUAGCUCCAAUGUUAAGGCUAAGACGCUUGAGUAACAUUAAAUGGCCUCACCUCACGCAAAACGAGGUAGCCAGCUCUUUCCUCGAAGCCGAAAAACAACGGGCCCGAGAUAGAUUAUUAGCUGAACAAAAUGAACUGUUAUCGCGUCCGGCAAUAGAAAAAUAUUGGGCGAACAAGUUGUACCUCUCAGUUGAUGGUAGCGGACUCCGUGAAGCGGGCCAUUAUGGCCCGCAACACGGGUGGGUUAGUCAACCCACGCGUUUAUUAACAGGAAAGGAAUAUAUAGACGGUAUUCGUCUGCGGAUAAAUGCCCUACCCACAAAGUCUCGUACUACAAGGGGAAGGCACGAAUUGGAACGACAGUGUCGUGCAGGAUGUGAUGCUCCCGAAACAACAAACCACAUAAUGCAAAAAUGCUACCGCUCGCAUGGGAGGCGGGUAGCUAGACACAACUGCGUAGUAAAUCGAAUCAAGCGGGGACUUGAGGAGAGAGGCUGCGUGGUCAUUGUUGAACCAAGUCUGCAGUGCGAAUCCGGCCUUAAUAAACCAGACCUGGUGGCACUACGACAAAAUCACAUUGAUGUGAUCGACAUACAAAUUGU
RNAcentral lists this ribosomal RNA (3910 nucleotides) under Drosophila melanogaster (fruit fly). RNAcentral's name for it is "eukaryotic LSU rRNA". The stretch from base 573 to 3910 matches the Rfam family "Eukaryotic large subunit ribosomal RNA". The record is from RNAcentral. Lineage: Eukaryota; Metazoa; Arthropoda; Insecta; Diptera; Drosophilidae.